Molecule: ribosomal RNA, 384 nt
Filed under: uncultured bacterium
Lineage: Bacteria
Description: bacterial SSU rRNA
Rfam family: Bacterial small subunit ribosomal RNA
Source: RNAcentral
GACGAACGCUGGCGGCGUGCUUAACACAUGCAAGUCGAGCGGUAAGGCCCUUUCGGGGGUACACGAGCGGCGAACGGGUGAGUAACACGUGGGUGACCUGCCCUCAGCUCUGGGAUAAGCCUGGGAAACCGGGUCUAAUACCGGAUAUGACUCCAUGACGCAUGUUGUGGGGUGGAAAGCCUUGUGCGGCUGAGGAUGGGCCCGCGGCCUAUCAGCUUGUUGGUGGGGUGAUGGCCUACCAAGGCGACGACGGGUAGCCGGCCUGAGAGGGCGACCGGCCACACUGGGACUGAGACACGGCCCAGACUCCUACGGGAGGGCAGCAGUGGGGAAUCUUGCGCAAUGGGCGAAAGCCUGACGCAGCGACGCCGCGUGAGGGAUGAC